RNAcentral lists this ribosomal RNA (600 nucleotides) under Salinivibrio proteolyticus. Its description in RNAcentral is "bacterial SSU rRNA". It matches the Rfam family "Bacterial small subunit ribosomal RNA", at positions 38 to 619 of the family's 1533-position model. The record is from RNAcentral. Lineage: Bacteria; Pseudomonadati; Pseudomonadota; Gammaproteobacteria; Vibrionales; Vibrionaceae.
AGCGCAGUCUACACAUGCAGUCGAGCGGAAACGGCAGUAUUGAAGCUUCGGUGGAUUUACUGGACGUCGAGCGGCGGACGGGUGAGUAACGGCUGGGAACCUGCCCUGACGAGGGGGAUAACCGUUGGAAACGACGGCUAAUACCGCAUAAUGUCUACGGACCAAAGGUGGCCUCUACAUGUAAGCUAUCGCGUUGGGAUGGGCCCAGUUAGGAUUAGCUAGUUGGUAAGGUAACGGCUUACCAAGGCGACGAUCCUUAGCUGGUUUGAGAGGAUGAUCAGCCACACUGGGACUGAGACGCGGCCCAGACUCCUACGGGAGGCAGCAGUGGGGAAUAUUGCACAAUGGGGGAGACCCUGAUGCAGCCAUGCCGCGUGUGUGAAGAAGGCCUUCGGGUUGUAAAGCACUUUCAGCAGUGAGGAAGGUAGUGUACUUAAUACGUGCAUUGCUUGACGUUAGCUGCAGAAGAAGCACCGGCUAACUCCGUGCCAGCAGCCGCGGUAAUACGGAGGGUGCGAGCGUUAAUCGGAAUUACUGGGCGUAAAGCGCAUGCAGGCGGUUUGUUAAGUCAGAUGUGAAAGCCCGGGGCUCAACCUCGGA